UCAGGCCUAACACAUGCAAGUCGAGCGGGGUUUUCGGACCUAGCGGCGGACGGGUGAGUAAUGCGUAGGAAGCUACCCGACAGAGGGGGAUACCAGUUGGAAACGACUGUUAAUACCGCAUAAUGUCUACGGACCAAAGUGUGGGACCUUCGGGCCACAUGCUGUCGGAUGCGCCUACGUGGGAUUAGCUAGUUGGUGAGGUAAUGGCUCACCAAGGCGACGAUCCCUAGCUGGUUUGAGAGGAUGAUCAGCCACACUGGAACUGAGACACGGUCCAGACUCCUACGGGAGGCAGCAGUGGGGAAUAUUGGACAAUGGGCGCAAGCCU
RNAcentral lists this ribosomal RNA (328 nucleotides) under uncultured bacterium. RNAcentral's name for it is "bacterial SSU rRNA". It matches the Rfam family "Bacterial small subunit ribosomal RNA", at positions 43 to 384 of the family's 1533-position model. The record is from RNAcentral.